GUCCUUGUGGGCUUUAUACAAGGUCUAGCCUGCCCACUGAUUAUUUAAAGGGCUGCGGUAAUCUAACCGUGCGAAGGUAGCAUAGUAAUUAGUCUUUUAAUUGGAGGCUUGUAUGAACGGUUGGACGAUGGAGAGCUUUCUUAUUGAAUCAUAUUGAAUUUAACUUUUGUGUGAAAAGGCAUAGAUGAGAUGGUGGGACGAUAAGACCCUAUAAAAUUUUAUAAUUAAAAUUUUAUUUUGGAGAAUUUAAACGAAGUGGAAUAGAAAUUAUUAUGUUGGGGUGACAGAAUUAAAUUUUUAUAAAACUGAUUUUUAAAUUUUAAUAAUUAUGGUUAGAGUCUGAUCCUGUAUUAUGGGUUAUAAGUUAAAGUUACUUUAGGGAUAACAGCGUAAUUUCUUUUGAGAGUUCUUAUCGACAGAGUAAGUUGCGACCUCGAUGUUGAAUUAAAAUUUUCCCCGGGGGUAGGAUUUCGGGUGGUAGGUCUGUUCGACCUGUAGUAUUUUACAUGAUUUGAGUUCAAACCGGUGUGAG
Molecule: ribosomal RNA, 532 nt
Filed under: Alpheopsis labis
Lineage: Eukaryota; Metazoa; Arthropoda; Malacostraca; Decapoda; Alpheidae
Description: partial large subunit ribosomal RNA
Rfam family: Bacterial large subunit ribosomal RNA
Source: RNAcentral